UACGGGGGGUGCGAGCGUUGUCCGGAAUCACUGGGCGUAAAGGGCGCGUAGGUGGUUUGAUAAGGCUGUGGUGAAAGCCCGGGGCUCAACCCCGGGUCUGCCGUGGCGACUGUCAGACUGGAGGGCUCGAGAGGCAGACGGAAUUCCGGGUGUAGCGGUGGAAUGCGUAGAGAUCCGGAAGAAGACCGGUGGCGAAGGCGGUCUGCUGGCGAGUACCUGACACUGAGGCGCGACAGCGUGGGGAGCAAACAGG
RNAcentral lists this ribosomal RNA (253 nucleotides) under uncultured bacterium. RNAcentral describes it as "partial 16S ribosomal RNA". It matches the Rfam family "Bacterial small subunit ribosomal RNA", at positions 524 to 776 of the family's 1533-position model. The record is from RNAcentral.